UGCCGAUAAAGGUAAACCCGCCGAAAGGCGGGGGCGCAAAGCCUAAGGCCUAAACCCUUUUAGCUAAUGGCUAAGGGCAGGGCAGCUGGGUUGCCGAA
Molecule: non-coding RNA, 98 nt
Filed under: Candidatus Omnitrophota bacterium
Lineage: Bacteria; Pseudomonadati; Candidatus Omnitrophota
Description: Omnitrophica WOR c-di-GMP sequence
Rfam family: c-di-GMP-I riboswitch aptamer
About the family: GEMM was predicted in a large-scale screen for bacterial structured RNA regulatory elements.
Source: RNAcentral